This is a non-coding RNA of Acanthosepion pharaonis, 115 nucleotides long. Lineage: Eukaryota; Metazoa; Mollusca; Cephalopoda; Sepiida; Sepiidae. The record is from the annotation of a GenBank genome assembly.
UUACGACCAAAAUCAUGUUGAAACAUCUGUUCGUGUACGAUCACCGAAGUUAAGUAACGUUGACUCUGGUCAGUACCUAGAUGGGUGACCGCUUGGUAAUACAAGGUGCUGUAAG